This 508-nucleotide ribosomal RNA is filed under the name uncultured bacterium. Its description in RNAcentral is "partial 16S ribosomal RNA". It matches the Rfam family "Bacterial small subunit ribosomal RNA", at positions 28 to 523 of the family's 1533-position model. The record is from RNAcentral.
GAUGAACGCUAGCUACAGGCUUAACACAUGCAAGUCGAGGGGAAACGAUAUUGGAAGCUUGCUUCCGAUAGGCGUCGACCGGCGCACGGGUGAGUAACGCGUAUCCAACCUGCCCACCACUUGGGGAUAACCUUGCGAAAGUAAGACUAAUACCCAAUGAUAUCCCUAGAAGACAUCUGAAGGAGAUUAAAGAUUUAUCGGUGAUGGAUGGGGAUGCGUCUGAUUAGCUUGUUGGCGGGGUAACGGCCCACCAAGGCGACGAUCAGUAGGGGUUCUGAGAGGAAGGUCCCCCACAUUGGAACUGAGACACGGUCCAAACUCCUACGGGAGGCAGCAGUGAGGAAUAUUGGUCAAUGGGCGAGAGCCUGAACCAGCCAAGUAGCGUGCAGGAUGACGGCCCUACGGGUUGUAAACUGCUUUUAUAAGGGAAUAAAGUGAGUCUCGUGAGACUUUUUGCAUGUACCUUAUGAAUAAGGACCGGCUAAUUCCGUGCCAGCCGCCGCAGUAA